RNAcentral lists this ribosomal RNA (497 nucleotides) under uncultured bacterium. RNAcentral describes it as "bacterial SSU rRNA". It matches the Rfam family "Bacterial small subunit ribosomal RNA", at positions 30 to 518 of the family's 1533-position model. The record is from RNAcentral.
UGAACGCUAGCGACAGGCCUAACACAUGCAAGUCGAGGGGCGAGCACAAGGAGCAAUCUGAGGUGGCGACCGGCGCACGGGUGAGUAACACGUAUGCAACCUGCCUGUAAGCGGGGAAUAACCCGUUGAAAGACGGACUAAUACCGCAUAAUACUAAAUUACUGCAUGGUAAUUUAUUUAAACAUUUAUGGCUUACAGAUGGGCAUGCGCAUGAUUAGCUAGUUGGAGAGGUAACGGCUCCCCAAGGCAACGAUCAUUAGGGGUUCUGAGAGGAAGGUCCCCCACACUGGUACUGAGACACGGACCAGACUCCUACGGGAGGCAGCAGUGAGGAAUAUUGGUCAAUGGACGAGAGUCUGAACCAGCCAAGUCGCGUGCAGGAAGAAUGUCCUUAAUGGACUGUAAACUGCUUUUGCAGGGGGAAUAAAGUGCAUCACGUGUGAUGUUUUGUAUGUACUCUGCGAAUAAGGAUCGGCUAACUCCGUGCCAGCAGCAGC